RNAcentral lists this ribosomal RNA (119 nucleotides) under Pteropus alecto (black flying fox). Lineage: Eukaryota; Metazoa; Chordata; Mammalia; Chiroptera; Pteropodidae. The record is from RNAcentral.
GUCUAUGGCCAUGCUACCCUGAACACACUCAAUCCCGUCUAAUCUCGGUAGCUAAGCAGGAUCAGGCCUGGUUAGUACUUGAAUAGGAGACCAUCUAGGAAUACUGGGUGCUGUAGGUA